RNAcentral lists this ribosomal RNA (711 nucleotides) under uncultured Spiroplasma sp. RNAcentral describes it as "bacterial SSU rRNA". It matches the Rfam family "Bacterial small subunit ribosomal RNA", at positions 9 to 719 of the family's 1533-position model. Lineage: Bacteria; Bacillati; Mycoplasmatota; Mollicutes; Entomoplasmatales; Spiroplasmataceae. The record is from RNAcentral.
GAGUUUGAUCAUGGCUCAGGAUUAACGCUGGCGGCAUGCCUAAUACAUGCAAGUCGAACAGAGUAGCAAUACUUAGUGGCGAACGGGUGAGUAACACGUAUCUAAUCUACCAUUUAGUGGGGAAUAACUGUUGGAAACGACAGCUAAUACCGCAUAAUAUUGCUGGAUAAUUUCCAGUAAUGAAAGGAGCUUUCAAGCUCCGCUGAUUGAUGAGGAUGCGGCGCAUUAGCUAGUUGGUAGGGUAAUGGCCUACCAAGGCAAUGAUGCGUAGCCGAUCUGAGAGGAUGAACGGCCACAUUGGGACUGAGACACGGCCCAAACUUCUACGGAAGGCAGCAGUAGGGAAUUUUUCACAAUGGGCGAAAGCCUGAUGGAGCAAUGCCGCGUGACUGAUGAAGGUCUUCGGAUUGUAAAGGUCUGUUGUAAGGGAAGAAAUGGUAAAACAGGAAAUGGUUUUAUCUAUGACGGUACCUUACCAGAAAGCCACGGCUAACUAUGUGCCAGCAGCCGCGGUAAUACAUAGGUGGCAAGCGUUAUCCGGAUUUAUUGGGCGUAAAGGGUGCGUAGACGGUUUUGCAAGUCUGAGGUUAAAUUUAGGAGCUCAACUCCUAAUCGCCUUGGAAACUACAAGACUAGAGUAUAGGAGAGGUUAGUGGAAUUCCAUGUGUAGCGGUGGAAUGUGUAGAUAUAUGGAGGAACACCAGUGGCGAA